CAAGGACCCGGUGAAAGCCCGGGUGGCUCUUCCGGCCGCUGAUCCGCCGGACAAUC
Molecule: regulatory RNA element, 56 nt
Organism: Paracoccus sp. SM22M-07
Lineage: Bacteria; Pseudomonadati; Pseudomonadota; Alphaproteobacteria; Rhodobacterales; Paracoccaceae
Rfam family: sul1 RNA
Source: Rfam